AUGAUGACUGUUCCGAUGGAUAGUACUGCUGUUCCGCCAUCGCGGGACCUCGUGCAGCGCCUCCUUAAGAAGAAUGCCGAACUCAAAAGUCAUCUUGAGAAGUCAGCACAGUCCAAAGUCCCAUCAGAUCCCAACAUAUGGCUUCAGAUGCGUGAGAAUUUUGAGAAAAUGAUUCUGGCAGAUCAUGACUUCUGUGAAAAGCAUGAGAUCGAGUAUAUUUUGUGGCAGUUGCACUACAAAAGAAUCGAGGAGUUCAGGCACCACAUUAGUUCUGCAGGUUCAGCUGCAUCUCAGAAUGGGAAGAACAAUGCCAACCCUGAUCGAAUUAAGAGAAUUAAGUCGGCCUUCAGGAGCUUUCUUUCAGAAGCAUCGGGCUUCUAUCAUGAUUUGAUGUUCAAGAUCAAAUCCAACUACGACCUUCCUCUGGGUCACUUCUCGGAGUCUCCUGAGAAUGCAAGCAACCCUGGCAAAAAUGAUAAGAGAACAGCUGAUGCUAAGAAAGCCCUGAUAUCAUGCCACCGUUGUCUCAUAUAUCUUGGUGAUUUGGCCCGCUAUAAGGGUAUGUUUGGUGAUGCUGAUUCUGUAAGACGUGAAUAUAAUGCUGCUUCUAAUUACUACAAGGAGGCAGCUUCAAUCUGCCCUUCCAGCGGCAACCCACACCAUCAGCUUGCAAUAUUAGCUUCUUACUCUGGCAAUGAGGUGGUGGCUGUCUACAGAUACUUUCGAAGCUUAGCUGCAGACACUCCCUUCUCCACAGCACGGGACAACUUGAUUCUCGCUUUUGAGAAGAAUCGCCAGGGCUAUGCACAGCUGCCAAGCAACAACAAAGUUGCAAUUGCUAGGACAUUACCCCCACGGUCAGCUGGUAGGGGCAGAGGAGGACGGGGCGAAAUAAGGUUUCAGCCCAAGGAUGUUAAUACUGAAGCAGCUUCAAAAGAGCGAGAGCAAAGUAUUCCUGAUACACUGAAGUCCUUCUUUGUACGGUUUGUUAGGCUCAAUGGAAUUCUUUUCACAAGGACUAGUUUGGAGACAUUUGAGGAACUGUUUGAUGUGGUCAUCAACGAUCUGAAAGUUCUCCUCUCUUCUGGUCCAAAUGAAGAGUUCCAUUUUGGUUCUGAUGCUGCAGAGAACGCAUUAGUUAUUGUUCGACUUGUUGCAAUCCUUAUAUUCACAGUGCACAACGUGAAAAAGGAACCAGAUAACCAGUCAUAUGCUGAAAUUGUCCAACGCAGGGUCCUUCUUCAAAAUGCAUUUACAGCUGCUUUUGAGUUUGUUGGACAUAUUCUCAAAAGGUGCUCAGAGCUUCGUGACAUUGCAUCAAGUUUCUAUCUUCCAGCCAUUGUGGUCUACAUCGAAUGGCUGGCAUGCCAUCCGGAGUUAGCUGCUGAUUCGGAGAUGGACGAGAAGCAUGCGAAUGCUCGAUCUUUCUUCUGGAACCAGUGUGUCUUGCUUAUGAAUAAGCUCAUCCUUACAGACCUUGCGUCCAUUGAUGGUGAUGAUGAUGAGGCUUGCUUUUUUGAUAUGGGCGUGUAUGAAGAGGGUGAAACUGGCAAUCGACUUGCAUUGUGGGAAGAUUUUGAAUUAAGGGGAUUUUCCCCCUUGGUGCCUGCACAUAUUAUCUUGGAUUUCUCAAGCAAGCACACAUUUGGAAGUGAUGGUAGCACCAAGUUGAAGAAAGCACGGGCACAACGGAUACUUUCUGCAGGGAAGGCUCUACUCAAUUUUGUCCAGAUUGAUCAACUGAGAAUAUAUUUUGACCCAUCUUCAAGGAAGUUUGUUGUGGCCAAGGAGCCUCCUGUUUUUGGAGCUGCCAUCUCUACUCAUAGAUCUCGCAAUGCACCUGAAACAAAUGCUGUUGAGCUGGAACAUGAAAUUGGUAAUUUUUUUGAUGCAGUGGCAACUAAUCUUGGAGCAAUGCAGUCGGGAGUACAGUUGUGUUCAGAGGGAGAAGAUGAUGAAGAAAUUGUUUUCAAACCUACAGCGUCUGAGAAGCUCCCAAAAGUACUUACCGAACUACCCGUUAAUGGAUAUAUCCAGCCUCUACAGAUGUCUACUGCUGGGUGGCCAACAAUGGGCGGACCAGUUACUAUUCAGAGUACUGCAUCUGCAUCAGGUCCUGGAAACUGUAAUGUUAAUGAGUCACUUCCCAUGUCUUCUGGUGGUUGGGCUUUCAAUGGCAGGCAAGAGGCUAUUUCUAGCAAUGUUUCAAUGUCGACAACUUACGAAUUUGUGCAGCCUGUUGAGAUGGCUACUUCCAGCUGGGCAAGUAAUGGUGCACCACUUGUUGGCCCUCUGAACACAAUGCCUACUUUCUCAGCUGCCAUCUCUGAUCCGCGUGUAUCUGCAGCAAUGGUUCCACAUUUUGGCAGCCCAGAUUAUUCAAAAUUGCUCCUUGAACAAGAAAAACUCUUAAUGAUGGGAUUAAAUAAUGUUCAUUUGGCUGGAAAUGGAUUUCCUGAGCAGAGGUUUCAGGGUGGACCGAGUGGAUUACAGUCAAUGGUAUAUUCUCCACAUGUAUCUGUUGAAUCUGUGUGCAACAAUACAAGUUUGAUGCAUAAUCAGGUGAAAGCGACUGAAGAAACCAUCCCAUCCACUUCUGAUUCAAUUGUACCCUCAGUAGCAGCAUCUGGUGGGAUGACAAUCAAUCUCACUGAUGCACCUGUAGCUGUAUCAAAGAAGAAUCCUGUAAGUCGUCCAUCAAGGCCCGUUGGUCCUCCUCCAGGAUUUAACCACAUCACUCCAAAGCGCCAUGAUGAUGAUAUUAUGCCAUUUGAGAAGCUGCAGCACCAACAGAUUGAUGAUUACAGCUGGCUGGAUGGCUACCAGCCAUCAAUGGAACGUGUUCAUAACUCAAAAGCUAUUUAUCCUGAUGUUGCCACUACCAGCAGUGCAUUCACCACUCCCUUCCCUUUCCCUGGGAAACGGCAGGUUUCUGGGGUGCACACCUUAGGGGCCAGUGAGAAAACAUGGCAAGAUUUCCACCUUUUUGACCCUGCAAAGCAGAAUAUGGUUCAAAACCACCAACAAAUUAAUCAGCAUAGUGGUCAAGUGGCUGAAAAGCAGCCGGCAAAACCUAUCGGAUCUGGCCGUUAUCUUGUGUGA
RNAcentral lists this ribosomal RNA (3102 nucleotides) under Triticum aestivum (bread wheat). RNAcentral describes it as "partial small subunit ribosomal RNA". Lineage: Eukaryota; Viridiplantae; Streptophyta; Magnoliopsida; Poales; Poaceae. The record is from RNAcentral.